AGGUAGCGAAAUUCCUUGUCGGGUAAGUUCCGACCCGCACGAAUGGUGUAACGAUUUGGGUACUGUCUCAACAAGGGACCCGGCGAAAUUGUAGUAUGUGUGAAGAUGCACAUUACCCGCGAUAGGACGGAAAGACCCCGUAGAGCUUUACUGUAGUUUAACAUUGGAUUCCGGUAACAUAUGCACAGGAUAGGUGGGAGGCGGAGAAGCAGUGAUUUCGGUUGCUGCAGAGCCGACGUUGGGAUACCACUCUUGUGUUACUGGGGUUCUAACCUGUGGCCGUGAUCCGGCACAGGAACAGUGUUAGAUGGGCAGUUUGACUGGGGCGGUCGCCUCCAAAAGAGUAACGGAGGCGUCCAAAGGUUCCCUCAGAAUGGUUGGAAACCAUUCGAAGAGUACAAAGGCAGAAGGGAGCCUGACUGCGAGACCGACAGGUCGAGCAGGGACGAAAGUCGGGCUUAGUGAUCCGGCGGUAUAGAGUGGAAUUGCCGUCGCUCAACGGAUAAAAGCUACCUCGGGGAUAACAGGCUUAUCUCCCCCAAGAGUCCACAUCGACGGGGAGGUUUGGCACCUCGAUGUCGGCUCAUCGCAUCCUGGGGCUGUAUUCGGUCCCAAGGGUUUGGCUGUUCGCCAAUUAAAGCGGCACGCGAGCUGGGUUCAGAACGUCGUGAGACAGUUCGGUCCCUAUCCAUCGUGGGCGCAGGAGAUUUGAGAGGAGCUGUCCUUAGUACGAGAGGACCGGGAUGGACGCACCAAGGGUGAAUCAGUUGUCGUGCCAACGGCACAGCUGGGUAGCCAAGUGCGGAUCGGAUAAACGCUGAAGGCAUCUAAGCGUGAAGCCGACUUCAAGAUAAGAUCUCCCAUCCGCAAGGAGUAAGGCCCCAUGUAGACCACAUGGUUGAUAGGUCGCAGGUGGAAGUGCAGUAAUGUACGCAGCUGAGCGAUACUAAUAGGCCGAGGGCUUGAUCAA
Molecule: ribosomal RNA, 970 nt
Filed under: human gut metagenome
Description: bacterial LSU rRNA
Rfam family: Bacterial large subunit ribosomal RNA
Source: RNAcentral